RNAcentral lists this ribosomal RNA (491 nucleotides) under uncultured bacterium. RNAcentral describes it as "partial 16S ribosomal RNA". It matches the Rfam family "Bacterial small subunit ribosomal RNA", at positions 28 to 507 of the family's 1533-position model. The record is from RNAcentral.
GAUGAACGCUAGCGAUAGGCUUAACACAUGCAAGUCGAGGGGUAACGUGUUUGCAGCUUGCUUCCGAUGACGACGACCGGCGGAUGGGUUCGUAACGCGUAUGCAACUUGCCUCACAGUGGAGAAUAACCCGGAGAAAUCCGGACUCAUACUCCAUACACUCUUAAGUACGCCUGUACAUGAGAGGAAAGAUUUAUCGCUGUGAGAUAGGCAUGCGUCCUAUUAGGUAGUUGGUGAGGUAACGGCUCACCAAGCCGACGAUAGGUAGGGGUGCUGCGAGGCAGAUCCCCCACAGUGGGACUGAGACACGGCCCAAACUCCGACGGGAGGCAGCAGUGAGGAAGAUUGGUCAAUGGAGGAAACUCUGAACCAGGCAAGUCGCGUGAAGGAAGAAUGUCCUAAGGAUUGUAAACUUCUUUAGCGAGCGAGUAAGGACUUCCACGUGAUGGGAGGUUGAAAGUAGCUCGAGAAUAAGUAUCGGCUAACUCCGUG